This 148-nucleotide non-coding RNA is filed under the name Gorilla gorilla gorilla (western lowland gorilla). Lineage: Eukaryota; Metazoa; Chordata; Mammalia; Primates; Hominidae. The record is from Rfam by way of RNAcentral.
GCCAGGUGUGGUGGUGCAUGCCUGUAAUCCCAGCAACUCAGGAGGCUGAGGCAGGAGAAUUGCUUGAACCCGGGAGGUGGUGGUUGCAGUGAGCCAAGAUUGUGCCACUGCACUCCAGCCUGGGCAACAGAGUAAGAUUCUGUCUUUA